Long non-coding RNA from Argiope bruennichi, 406 nucleotides. RefSeq lists it as uncharacterized. The record is from RefSeq and is a predicted model, not a curated record. NCBI's taxonomy places the organism in Eukaryota, Metazoa, Arthropoda, Arachnida, Araneae, Araneidae. The transcript is spliced from 3 exons.
UUCUCUCGUUAGUAUCACACUUGUUUGUCUACCUACGACCCUUUGGAGUAGAAAGUGCAACAAACAAAUGGACCCCAGUCAAGUGGAGGGCUAUUCACCCUCAAUGCAGAAGGAGUGCAACCGAAAAUCUUAAAACAGAUUCACGUCUGGAUAACUCAAUUGAUAUUUAAGGUCAUGGAAUGUAACAACAUUGAAAAAUGGUGUAUCAAUUCCAAGUACAUGGUGGAUCUCCGUGGAAUCGAACCCCAUCCCUCGACUCUUCAAUCUGGAGACCGAGAUGCUGGCAAGAGUCCGCCGCAUUUCCUAAUGUAUCUUUGGGUACCAUUGGCUUAAGUAUCGAUUUUGUCACACGCCAAAGAUUGAAAUUUGUAUACGGUGCACCAAAAUAAUCUUAUUUUUACUUCCA